Molecule: non-coding RNA, 160 nt
Filed under: Caldimonas brevitalea
Lineage: Bacteria; Pseudomonadati; Pseudomonadota; Betaproteobacteria; Burkholderiales; Sphaerotilaceae
Description: Polyangium brachysporum FMN sequence
Rfam family: FMN riboswitch aptamer (RFN element)
About the family: The RFN element is a highly conserved domain that is found frequently in the 5'-untranslated regions of prokaryotic mRNAs that encode for flavin mononucleotide (FMN) biosynthesis and transport proteins. This element is a metabolite-dependent riboswitch that directly binds FMN in the absence of proteins. In Bacillus subtilis, the riboswitch most likely controls gene expression by causing premature transcription termination within the 5' untranslated region of the ribDEAHT operon and precluding access to the ribosome-binding site of ypaA mRNA.
Source: Rfam by way of RNAcentral
GCGGGUCUUCAGGGCGGGGUGGAAGUCCCCACCGGCGGUAGGAACCAGGGUCAGGUCGGCCCCGGUUCGAGCCCGCGAGCGCCCAGGGUCCACCCCUGGGGUCAGCAGAUCCGGUUCAAGCCGGAGCCGACGGUCACAGUCCGGAUGAAAGAAGACAACG